Molecule: long non-coding RNA, 230 nt
Filed under: Salvia miltiorrhiza (redroot sage)
Lineage: Eukaryota; Viridiplantae; Streptophyta; Magnoliopsida; Lamiales; Lamiaceae
Description: long non-coding RNA (SMIL_LNC009963)
Source: RNAcentral
GCGUGAUCGUAAGGAUUGCCGGAGUUUCACGUUCUCCCUAAUGUGAACAUUAAUACGCAGCGUAAUAAUUGGUGCUUUCAUUGACGUUUCCAUGGCUUCCGAAGUCCCCGCCUGGCAGAGACAUCUCGACGCCCAGAACGCCGUCCUCCAGAAACAGAUCGACGAACUCGUCGCUCUUUUCAAAUCGUCCCACAACCCUUCCUCCUCCCACACCAUCGACAACUCUCAUG